UACAGAGGUCUCAAGCGUUGUUCGGAUUCAUUGGGCGUAAAGGGCGCGUAGGCGGCGGGGUAAGUCGGGUGUGAAAUCUCAGGGCUCAACCCUGAAACUGCACUCGAUACUGCCGUGCUUGAGGACUGGAGAGGAGACUGGAAUUUACGGUGUAGCGGUGAAAUGCGUAGAUAUCGUAAGGAAGACCAGUGGCGAAGGCGGGUCUCUGGACAGUUCCUGACGCUGAGGCACGAAGGUCAGGGGAGCAAACGGG
This 253-nucleotide ribosomal RNA is filed under the name uncultured bacterium. RNAcentral's name for it is "partial 16S ribosomal RNA". It matches the Rfam family "Bacterial small subunit ribosomal RNA", at positions 524 to 776 of the family's 1533-position model. The record is from RNAcentral.